This 83-nucleotide transfer RNA is filed under the name Planctomycetaceae bacterium. Its description in RNAcentral is "tRNA-Leu". It matches the Rfam family "tRNA". Rfam says of the family: Transfer RNA (tRNA) molecules are approximately 80 nucleotides in length. Their secondary structure includes four short double-helical elements and three loops (D, anti-codon, and T loops). The record is from RNAcentral. Lineage: Bacteria; Pseudomonadati; Planctomycetota; Planctomycetia; Planctomycetales; Planctomycetaceae.
GGCUGAGUGGCGGAAUGGCAGACGCUGGGGAUUUAAAAUCCCCUCACCGCAAGGUGGUGCGGGUUCGAGUCCCGCCUCGGCUA